CACAGGCUGACACAGGCAGAACACAGCAGACACGAUGGAGUGGCAUAAAGAAAUACGGACUUACAGCUUAUUUUUACCCCAAACAGGGUCUUACUAUGUAACUCUGGCUGUCCCGGCUGAAACGGUGGAUGUAGAUCAGGCUAGCCUCUAACUUACAGAGUUAUGUCUGCCUUCGCCUUCUGAGUGCUGGGAUUAAAGGUGUGCAUUGCCACAACGGGAUGGACUUGUAGCUUUUGAAAGUAAUAGUCACAGAAGGAGAGGGCUGUGAGAUUGUCCUCAGUUGGAGAAGUUUGAGAAUAGAUGGCAUUUAAGUUCCCAAAUGGCACCCUGGACAGGAAGAAGGGCACAAGGAUGGCAGUGAGCAAGAGUCAAAUGACUGGCAAUUCAUUUUUGUUUUGAAGUAGUGUUGUUUUCAACCUCUGACAGUUGGGCCAGUGGGACAACUCAGUGAUUUAAGGCACGUGCCACCAAGACUGACAAUCUGAGUUGGGUUCCCAGAAUCCUCAUGGUGGAAAGAGACUCCCACAAGUUAGCCUCUGAUCUCCACACAUGUGCCGUGGCACGUGCACGUGUAAACACACAUAAUGUACGACAAUAAAUAAAUAAAUAAGUUCAAUAAAAAGGUAAAGACAGUUCUGACAAUCGUGGGGACAAUGCAAGGAUGCUGUUCUUCUUGGAAGACACAGGAGUGUUUAGAUGAAGAGAUUACCUAAGUGACUCGCUUUCAAGACUGAGGAAGAAGUUGUACCUUUCUGUGGAGGAAGACAGGAAGGAUGCCUACGUGUGGCCAUUCCUCUCACGCUUGAAUUUGAGAGCCUCCUUUAUGCCAGACACCUGCAGGUUUCCGUCCCAACGCUCUGAAGGAAAAUUGGGCUCAUCUGGAGAGCUGAGGCUUGACUGUCUGAGAUGCUGAGUGCCUGGUACAAGAGCAGGGACAGAGGAAGGGGCUGCACUGAAGGGUUCUACCUCACGCCUGUCCUUCUGCUGAGGUGGUCAAUCAGCUGCUGUGACAAAGUGGGGGGAGGGGUGCCGCUUGAGGCGGUGAGCCUGCUUAGCUUGCUGGGUCUGCCUCAUGACUGCAUCCCUGCCUCCUGGGCGCACAGGUCUUCAGCAGCUGCGACGUCGGGAUUCCAUAAAGCAGGGAUGGGCUAAAACAGCCACACACGAGGCACUCCAGUCUCUUCCAGUAUGCUACAACACUACUGGAUGCUGGUGGCACAGAGCAACAGCCAUUGACUAGGCUCAUUGUGUCUUGGCUCUGUCUCAUGAUGCCGGAGGCUCUAGACGGAAAAAUGAAUGUGUACACAUACAUAUAAGUGAACAUUCAUA
Meriones unguiculatus (Mongolian gerbil) is the source of this 1329-nucleotide long non-coding RNA. RefSeq lists it as uncharacterized. The transcript is spliced from 3 exons. The record is from RefSeq and is a predicted model, not a curated record. NCBI's taxonomy places the organism in Eukaryota, Metazoa, Chordata, Mammalia, Rodentia, Muridae.